This 253-nucleotide ribosomal RNA is filed under the name uncultured bacterium. Its description in RNAcentral is "partial 16S ribosomal RNA". It matches the Rfam family "Bacterial small subunit ribosomal RNA", at positions 524 to 776 of the family's 1533-position model. The record is from RNAcentral.
UACGGGGGGGGCAAGCGUUGUUCGGAAUUACUGGGCGUAAAGGGCUCGUAGGCGGCCAACUAAGUCAGACGUGAAAUCCCCAGGCUCAACCUGGGAACUGCGUCUGAUACUGGAUGGCUUGAAUUCGGGAGAGGGAUGCGGAAUUCCAGGUGUAGCGGUGAAAUGCGUAGAUAUCUGGAGGAACACCGGUGGCGAAGGCGGCAUUCUGGACCGAGAUUGACGCUGAUGCGCGAAAGCCAGGGGAGCAAACGGG